UACGUAGGGUGUAAGCGUUGUCCGGAUUUAUUGGGCGUAAAGAGCGUGUAGGCGGCCAGGUAGGUCUGCUGUGAAAACUCGAGGCUUAACCUCGAGCUGUCGGCGGAAACCAUCUGGCUAGAGUCCGGAAGAGGAGAAUGGAAUUCCCGGUGUAGCGGUGAAAUGCGCAGAUAUCGGGAAGAACACCCGUGGCGAAGGCGGUUCUCUGGGACGGUACUGACGCUGAGACGCGAAAGCGUGGGGAGCGAACAGG
This 253-nucleotide ribosomal RNA is filed under the name uncultured bacterium. RNAcentral's name for it is "partial 16S ribosomal RNA". It matches the Rfam family "Bacterial small subunit ribosomal RNA", at positions 524 to 776 of the family's 1533-position model. The record is from RNAcentral.